GAUGAAGAACGUAGCGAAAUGCGAUAAGUAGUGUGAAUUGCAGAAUUCAGUGAAUCAUCGAAUCUUUGAACGCACAUUGCGCCCCUUGGUAUUCCGGGGGGCAUGCCUGUCCGAGCGUCAUUACAACCCUCAAGCUCAGCUUGGUGUUGGGCCCCGCCGCCCCGGCGGGCCCUAAAGUCAGUGGCGGUGCCGUCCGGCUCCGAGCGUAGUAAUUCUUCUCGCUCUGGAGGUCCGGUCGUGUGCUCGCCAGCAACCCCCAAUUUUUUUCAGGUUGACCUCGGAUCAGGUAGGGAUACCCGCUGAACUUAAGCAUAUCAAUAAGCGGAGGA
This 329-nucleotide unclassified non-coding RNA is filed under the name soil metagenome. RNAcentral describes it as "partial contains 5.8S ribosomal RNA, internal transcribed spacer 2, and large subunit ribosomal RNA". The stretch from base 1 to 120 matches the Rfam family "5.8S ribosomal RNA", at positions 35 to 154 of the family's 154-position model. The record is from RNAcentral.